RNAcentral lists this ribosomal RNA (778 nucleotides) under Enterococcus gilvus. Its description in RNAcentral is "bacterial SSU rRNA". It matches the Rfam family "Bacterial small subunit ribosomal RNA", at positions 28 to 778 of the family's 1533-position model. The record is from RNAcentral. Lineage: Bacteria; Bacillati; Bacillota; Bacilli; Lactobacillales; Enterococcaceae.
GACGAACGCUGGCGGCGUGCCUAAUACAUGCAAGUCGAACGCUUUUUCUUUCACCGGAGCUUGCUCCACCGAAAGAAAAGGAGUGGCGAACGGGUGAGUAACACGUGGGUAACCUGCCCAUCAGAAGGGGAUAACACUUGGAAACAGGUGCUAAUACCGUAUAACAAUAGAAACCGCAUGGUUUCUAUUUGAAAGGCGCUUUUGCGUCACUGAUGGAUGGACCCGCGGUGCAUUAGCUAGUUGGUGAGGUAACGGCUCACCAAGGCAACGAUGCAUAGCCGACCUGAGAGGGUGAUCGGCCACAUUGGGACUGAGACACGGCCCAAACUCCUACGGGAGGCAGCAGUAGGGAAUCUUCGGCAAUGGACGRAAGUCUGACCGAGCAACGCCGCGUGAGUGAAGAAGGUUUUCGGAUCGUAAAACUCUGUUGUUAGAGAAGAACAAGGAUGAGAGUAAAAUGUUCAUCCCUUGACGGUAUCUAACCAGAAAGCCACGGCUAACUACGUGCCAGCAGCCGCGGUAAUACGUAGGUGGCAAGCGUUGUCCGGAUUUAUUGGGCGUAAAGCGAGCGCAGGCGGUUUCUUAAGUCUGAUGUGAAAGCCCCCGGCUCAACCGGGGAGGGUCAUUGGAAACUGGGAAACUUGAGUGCAGAAGAGGAGAGUGGAAUUCCAUGUGUAGCGGUGAAAUGCGUAGAUAUAUGGAGGAACACCAGUGGCGAAGGCGGCUCUUUGGUCUGUAACUGACGCUGAGGCUCGAAAGCGUGGGGAGCAAACAGGAU